AUGUACCACGCGUACCCUGCGGUUGCUUCGCACCCUCCGCGCCCACCUGGCGACUGCUCGCUACGUUUUGUUAGCC
RNAcentral lists this small RNA (76 nucleotides) under Xanthomonas fragariae. Its description in RNAcentral is "sX9 sRNA". It matches the Rfam family "Xanthomonas sRNA sX9". The record is from RNAcentral. Lineage: Bacteria; Pseudomonadati; Pseudomonadota; Gammaproteobacteria; Lysobacterales; Lysobacteraceae.